UGGGAAGAGACGCUAGCACUUUCCAAUCAGCAUUUUCAGGGGUUGAGCACUUUCUAAUCGACGACACAACAACAGAUGGUAGUCCAGUAACCAUUGAACAACACGUGACGGUAGAAGCGGCGUGGGAACUAUUGUCGCUCGAGUGAGAGCUUCUCUCUAGGGUUCUCGUUCCCAAUCUCUCAAUACCAAUUUCAAAUCUGAAAAUGAAACCCACUCUUCAUAUCCCUCCC
This 230-nucleotide long non-coding RNA is filed under the name Vigna radiata. RNAcentral describes it as "long non-coding RNA (VRAD_LNC003103)". Lineage: Eukaryota; Viridiplantae; Streptophyta; Magnoliopsida; Fabales; Fabaceae. The record is from RNAcentral.